This is a transfer RNA of Ipomoea nil (Japanese morning glory), 72 nucleotides long. It matches the Rfam family "tRNA". From Rfam's summary of the family: Transfer RNA (tRNA) molecules are approximately 80 nucleotides in length. Their secondary structure includes four short double-helical elements and three loops (D, anti-codon, and T loops). NCBI's taxonomy places the organism in Eukaryota, Viridiplantae, Streptophyta, Magnoliopsida, Solanales, Convolvulaceae. The record is from Rfam.
GCCUUCUUAGCUCAGUGGUAGAGCGCGUGGCUUUUAACCACGUGGUUGUGGGUUCGAUUCCCACAGACGGUG